Molecule: ribosomal RNA, 1183 nt
Filed under: Haptophyta environmental samples
Lineage: Eukaryota; Haptophyta
Description: SSU rRNA
Rfam family: Eukaryotic small subunit ribosomal RNA
Source: RNAcentral
AGCAGGCGCGGAAAUUGCCCGAAUCCUGACACAGGGAGGUAGUGACAAGAAUAACGAUUCAGCUACAUUAGGUCUGCAGUAGAUGAGUCAGUUACAUCUCUACGAUGAUCAUGAGGGCAGGUCUGUGCAGCAGCCGCGUAAUCAGCUCAUAGCGUAUAUUAAAGUUGUUGCAGUAGACGCUCGUAGUCGGAUUUCGGGGCGUUCCGACCGGUCUGCCGAUGGGUAUGCACUGGCCCGGAGUGUCCUUUUUGCCGGAGACCGUGCCUACUCUUAACUGAGCGGGGGCGGGAGACGGCACUUUUACUUUGAAAAUAUCAGAGUGUUUCAAGCAGGCAGCUCGCUCUUGCAUGGAUUAGCAUGGGAUAAUGAAAUAGGACUUUGGUGCUAUUUUGUUGGUUUCGAACACCGAAGUAAUGAUGAGAAGGGACAGUCAGGGGCACUCGUAUUCCGCAGAGAGAGGUGAAAUUCUCAGACCCGCGGAAGACGAACCACUGCGAAAGCAUUUGCCAGGGAUGUUUUCACUGAUCAGGAACGAAAGUUAGGGGAUCGAAGACGAUCAGAUACCGUCGUAGUCUUAACCAUAAACCAUGCCGACUAGGGAUUGGAGGAUGUUCACUGAUUGACUCCUUCAGCACCUUACGGGAAACUAAAGUCUUUGGGUUCCGGGGGGAGUAUGGUCGCAAGGCUGAACUUAAAGGAAUUGACGGAAGGGCACCACCAGGUGUGGAGCCUGCGGCUUAAUUUGACUCAACACGGGGAAACUUACCAGGUCCAGACAUUGUGAGGAUUGACAGAUUGAGAGCUCUUUCAUGAUUUAAUGGGUGGUGGUGCAUGGCCGUUCUUAGUUGGUGGAGUGAUUUGUCUGGUUAAUUCCGUUAACGAACGAGACCUUAGCCUGCUAAAUAGUGACGCGAACUCUUUGUUGGCGGGUCCACUUCUUAGAGGGACAACUUGUCUUCAACAAGUGGGAAGUUUGAGGCAAUAACAGGUCUGUGAUGCCCUUUAGAUGUUCUGGGGCCGCACGCGCGCUACACUGAUGCACUCAACGAGUCUCCACUUGACGGACAGGUCGGGAAACCUCGACCUGCAUCGGUGAAUGGGGAUGAAUAUGGCAACUAUAAUCCUACCAACGAAGAUACCCUUAGUUAGCGCGCAUGGUUUCCAUCUCAACCGUGUGCGCCGU